Stegodyphus dumicola is the source of this 2700-nucleotide long non-coding RNA. The record is from RefSeq and is a predicted model, not a curated record. Lineage: Eukaryota; Metazoa; Arthropoda; Arachnida; Araneae; Eresidae.
UUCUGGUUUUUAAAAAUGUUUUUAUAAAUUUAUAGCCGUAAAAAUGCAUUUGAUUUAUUUGUUGCAUUGGAUGAAAAGAAUGAAGCAUUUGGAGAACUGUACUGGGAUGAUGGUGAUUCAUUAGAUACAUAUAAAAAUGAUGCUUUUAAUCUCAUUCAACUAUCUGCUCAAAAUAAUGUUUUCAUCUCUAGUGUGGUUAACAAAGGAUAUAAUGAUGCUAUGAAUUUGAAAGAAAUUAGAAUAUAUGGUGUAGGUGAUGAUGUCAAAAAUGUAACUAUUAAUGACCAGCCUACGUCAUGUAAUGUCACGAAGACACAUAUAGCUAUAGAUGCCUCUGGAUUCACAUUACUAGAAGAGCUCAAAAUUAUCUGGAAUUAAAUAUGUGUUCCUGUCAUUAGAAAAAGAGUUUCUACUAUAAGAUCUUUGACAUAUUAUUUCAACUUUGGAUCUUUCAUAAUAUAUUUAGAUAUCUACCCUGUUUAAAUUGUUAAAUUGUAAUAUAUAUAUUGUUGAUCUUUAAAGUUCAUCUCUCUCUAUAUAUAUAGUGUAUAUAUAUAUAAUUUUGUAUAUGAAUCUUGUAGUAAAUGUUAUGUUAAUUCUAAUAUUUGAAAUAAUUUUGCUAAUAAAUUAUGAGUUUUGAUGAAUUUUAAAUACAAUUUCUAGUCAUUUAUAGCAUUAUUAUUUUAAAGCAAAUGCUUUGCUUUAUAUUAAAGCACUCAUUUAAAUCGGAUUUUUUUUUAAUUUAAAAGAAAACUAAUUUAUUAAUAUACCUAAAUUUAAUCUUUUGAUUAUUAGCAUUCUCUCACUAAAUAAAAUUAUAUAUUAUAUCUUAAUAUAAAUGUAAGAAAAUGGAAUUUAUUUGAUAUUAUGCCCCCCAAAUGCUUAAAAAUUAUUUCAUUUCUUUCUAGUUAAUAAUAUACAGUAACCAUGUAAUGGGAAAAAUAAAAUAAAAUAAUUUUAUUUUUAUUUUAUAUAUUCUUGCAUCUUUUUUAAAAUAAAAUCUUCAUUUCAUCAUCAAAUUUCAUGAAUGAAUGGGUUAAAUGUCAAAAGACUAUCCUUUGGUUCUUUUAUUGUGAUUGUUGAUUUUUUAAUAAUUUCAGAGUUGUUUAUGAUUUUGGGUGCUUUUUAUUGUUAAGUUUACCCUAUUUUAUUAAGAGAUAAAUGUUAAUUUCCUAACAAACUGUAUAUUGCUAUUAUUAACUGUUAUCAAGAACAUAAAAAUAUUUAUGUAUAAUUGCUGUGAAUUUUUUGUAUUUGUUAAUUGACUAUGUAUCUUAUAUUUUAUAAUUUUAAUUCUAUACAAAUGUAAAAUGCCGUUUGAUCAAAAAAUUUAAACACUUCAUAUAUUAUGUUUAUGUUUGGCAUAAAUUUUAAUUAUCUUAUUAUCCAAUAAUUUAUAUUCUGAUAACACAAUUGUUUACGUUGUUAUUUGCAGACAGAUAAAACUGUAGCUUUUGAUUUCAGUUCAUUCAAGUUUGUAAAUUAAGGGUAGUCAUUUGAUGUUCAAAGCUAUAAUAUAUAAAUUUUUAUUAUGAUGUUUUAAUUUAUUUUUAUUAAUAUAUCAAUUUUUAUGUCCUUAGUGUUCCUUUCUUCUUAAAAUUUGUUCCUUUGCUUCUUAACUGAUAUUUUAAAAGGUUGUAAUACAGGCAAAUAGAAGAAAUUAAUGGGAUUGUAAAAAGAAAAUACUUAACUGCAGAAUAGAAAGAUUUUGAAACUCAUCUGCUGCUAAUAGAACUGCUCAGAAUGAUAAUGUGUCAGACCAUGGAAGUAAAGUCUGUGUAAGAAAUGGAAGCUUGCAUGCUACUCUUUGUGUCCCACUAUUUGCUUAGAACUUGAAUAUUAUAAAAUAGAAUGCACGUGAAUGCAGCAAAGCACACAAUCCUUUUAGGGGUGCAGUCCCAUUAAAGAAUUAUUUUCUUUUAAAGCUUCCAUGCAAAAUGUAAAUGAAAGCAAGGGAAUACAAAUUAUUAUUGUAUGUAAACUAAACUUUUUUGUGGUUGUUGUUGCUGUUGUUAAUGCUAAUGCCAUUUCCUUGUGUUCCAUAAAGUAUACCAUGAGCUAAUAUAAAUAAGUUAUAGCUCCAACAUAUUAAAUAAAUAAACUUAAAGCAUCUAAAAUUAAAAAUAAAUUAGAGUCAAAGCAAGGCAAUGCAUAGUAUUAAAAUUUCUAAAUGCCAGAUAAGCAACAUCAAUCAGAUAGGGGAAACCAUCAGUCACUCCUACAUAGAAAGAAGCUUCAAAAGGAAUGCCCGAAAAAGAUACAUAUUUUUUUUUUAAAUCCUCCUCAGAAAUGAAUUCCAGAGUCUUUUAAAACAUCUGUAAUAACAAUAAAUAAAAUAAUAAACCAAAAUUGCAAUUUAAAAAAGUUAAAAGCAUACUGUUCACAAGCUUUUGCCAUGACAUGUGGCUGAAUACAGAGCAGUUUGUAAUAGAGCCCUGUAUGAAAAUUAUUUAGCAUGAGAAAAAAAAUGGAAAUACAUUGUAUUCCAUUUUUCUCUUUAUUUUCAAAGCUAUUAAUUUAUUUUCAAGCUUCAUUCAUUUCUAAGCUCUUCGCUCUUUAUUUUUAAAGCAAAACUUUUCUAUUAAAAUUUCCUUCCCUAUCAUGAUACUGUUUCUAGAAUUCUCCUUAAUGAGGCUUUAAACGUUUCAUCAUUUUUCAUUGGUGUGCUAAAAAAAAAAAAAAAAAAAAAAAAAAAAAAAA